RNAcentral lists this ribosomal RNA (341 nucleotides) under uncultured Ruminococcus sp. RNAcentral describes it as "partial 16S ribosomal RNA". Lineage: Bacteria; Bacillati; Bacillota; Clostridia; Eubacteriales; Oscillospiraceae. The record is from RNAcentral.
GGAGUUUGGGCCGUGUCUCAGUCCCAAUGUGGCCGGUCGCCCUCUCAGGCCGGCUAUAGAUCGUCGCUUUGGUGGGCCGUUACCCCGCCAACUGGCUAAUCUAACGCGGGUCCAUCUCUAUCCGAUAAAUCUUUUCACACUGUGAGAUGCCUCACCGUGCGCUUAUGCGGUAUUAGCAGUCAUUUCUAACUGUUAUCCCCCUGAUAAAGGCAGGUUACCCACGCGUUACUCACCCGUCCGCCACUAACUUGUUCCAAGUAAGGCUCGAUGCAAGCACUUCGCCUUACAGCGGAGCAAGUCCGUUCGACUUGCAUGUGUUAAGCACGCCGCCAGCGUUCAUC